This 497-nucleotide ribosomal RNA is filed under the name uncultured bacterium. Its description in RNAcentral is "partial 16S ribosomal RNA". It matches the Rfam family "Bacterial small subunit ribosomal RNA", at positions 28 to 507 of the family's 1533-position model. The record is from RNAcentral.
GACGAACGCUGGCGGCGUGCCUAAUACAUGCAAGUUGAGCGCUGAAGGUUGGUACUUGUACCAACUGGAUGAGCAGCGAACGGGUGAGUAACGCGUGGGGAAUCUGCCUUUGAGCGGGGGACAACAUUUGGAAACGAAUGCUAAUACCGCAUAACAACUUUAAACACAAGUUUUAAGUUUGAAAGAUGCAAUUGCAUCACUCAAAGAUGAUCCCGCGUUGUAUUAGCUAGUUGGUGAGGUAAAGGCUCACCAAGGCGAUGAUACAUAGCCGACCUGAGAGGGUGAUCGGCCACAUUGGGACUGAGACACGGCCCAAACUCCUACGGGAGGCAGCAGUAGGGAAUCUUCGGCAAUGGACGAAAGUCUGACCGAGCAACGCCGCGUGAGUGAAGAAGGUUGUCGGAUCGUAAAACUCUGUUGGUAGAGAAGAACGUUGGUGAGAGUGGAAAGCUCAUCAAGUGACGGUAACUACCCAGAAAGGGACGGCUAACUACGUG